ACACACACACAUGAACAUUCCUACCCCUAUGAGCAUCCCCGAGAGACUGAGCCGACAUAUCAUCUUGAGAUUGAUAAAGUCACUACAGACGCCUCGUAAUCGACGGCAACGUCUCCUUCCACUGAAAAUGCAUUGCCAAAAAUCUAAAAUAAAUCUACAAUAACACGAGCAUCAGAACUUGAACUCUGGUUGGCUGAGAUAUCACUGUCCUCCUAACCAUCCAAUCACAGGUCACAUGUUGGUUCGCUCCCAACCCACAUGCCAUAGGCAAGGUUUCUUACCAUAUGGCAAUAAUUUACUCGCAACAAAAGAUAUGGCUUGCCACAUAUUUGGCCAAGAAAAAGUGUCGCACCGGUAGACUCCGACCAAACAUGCCCCAGUGUUUAGAAGGAAACGCAAAGAAUAAGGCGAAGAGGAAUGUAGCAUUACUCUUCUUUAUUCCUUCCCAUUUCUUUGGUAUAAAAGGUUACACCGUAGCUGGAUUAGUCUACGGACGAAUUAAAAGCUUGCAGCGGUAGAAAAUUUCCCUACGUUCUUGUUUUUCUCUUUUUUUAGUAACGUUUUUCUCCUUUUUUUCUUAGUCCACGGACUGGACGCACUCCAUGCAACAACUGGGAAACCGGGAAACAUUUGGCCCACACGGCCUAGUAGGUAUCACUUUUUUUUAAAGCCCAAGUAGGUAGGUAUAACUUAACUCCGUCUAUUUUUAGCCACUUCUUCCAUUUUCGCCUUAGCCAACUCUAUCGUUUUCGCCGCAGCCGCCUGUAGCAUCAUCGGCACCGCACGCGCAAAAUCGCCAACCUGAGUGAAGACACCGGGGUCACUGUAUUUGAUGCUGCGUGAUAGGAACAGGAUAGAAGAAAGUUAGACAAGGUUCAAGAAAAGGAAGCCGCAGAGCAUAUUGUCGAGAAAAAUAGAGAAGCCAGAGCAUGAGCAUACCGUGGUAUCUUGACGCCAUUCACCUCCCUCUCGUUGUACCUUGAUAGGAUAGAUGGAUAAUCCAAUUAGCUAGAGAAAACUAAUACCAAGUAAAGGAAGAUGCAGAUAUCGAUCCUCAAAGGAAGGAGGGAAGAGGACGUAGAUCGCAUCACAGAGAGUUGUGGGAUCAUGAACGGACCUGCGGCGUCGAUCCUCUUCCCCUUCGAACGUUUCCAUGCCCACUGCACGUUUGAACCGUCCCCAACCCGAGGCGGCAUUUCCAUCACCGGACCCUUUUCCCAUCGUAGCGUGCGUAGAUAAGGCCGAGAGCUAACUGAAACCGUGGGUGCGUUGAUGGUGUUUGCGCAAGGUGAGUGUGUGUGAUGGCACUCGGGUGCCGGUGGACGGAUUUAUAGGCUCUCGCCCGUCGCCC
RNAcentral lists this long non-coding RNA (1351 nucleotides) under Triticum aestivum (bread wheat). RNAcentral describes it as "long non-coding RNA (TAES_LNC017549)". Lineage: Eukaryota; Viridiplantae; Streptophyta; Magnoliopsida; Poales; Poaceae. The record is from RNAcentral.